Non-coding RNA from Pelobates cultripes (western spadefoot toad), 140 nucleotides. Lineage: Eukaryota; Metazoa; Chordata; Amphibia; Anura; Pelobatidae. The record is from the annotation of a GenBank genome assembly.
GCAGGGUGGAAUGGCACUAGAAAAUAAAAAUUAUAGGUCGUGCCACAGAAAGACAAUAAAAAGAUUUUUUUCAUAUUUUUUUAUUGUCUUUCUGUGGCGCAACCUAUAAUUUUUAUUUUCUAGAUCCAUUCUUUUUUGAC